This is a long non-coding RNA of Nematostella vectensis (starlet sea anemone), 1883 nucleotides long. RefSeq lists it as uncharacterized. The record is from RefSeq and is a predicted model, not a curated record. The transcript has 2 exons. Lineage: Eukaryota; Metazoa; Cnidaria; Anthozoa; Actiniaria; Edwardsiidae.
CUACAGUUGAUCAAAAAGAAAAAAAAAGGUUUAAGGACAUUUUUAGAUACAUUUGAUACUGCGCUUUAAGAUGAACUACUGGUCCACCUCGGCCCUCUCCAAGUCCUCCUCCACGGCCGCAUCACGCACAAAUGUCUUAUUGCAUCCCUCUUGCGUACAAACGCAUGGUCCUCACACAGCUCGGCCCUCUCCAAGUUGAAGAUGGACUACUGGUCCACCUCGGUCCUCUCCAAGUCCUCCUCCUUGUUUGCGAGGUCGACAAAACAGUAUGUACACCAGUUCGACUCGUUUUGUCUGGAAGUGCUUUGAUAAAUAUACAAAAAAGAAAAGACAGGUCGGACAACUACUCAACUACUGUAGUACACUUUGGAACUUUUGGGAUGCGAAUAAUGGAGAUGCGAUUGUGAAUAAUAACAAUAAAAAAGAAAAAAAAGGUAUAAGGACAUUUUUAGAUACAUUUGAUACAUUUGCUACAUUGCUACUUUGCUACAUUGCUGCUUUGCUACCGUUGAUCAAAAAGAAAAAAAAGGUAUAAGGACAUUUUUAGAUACAUUUGAUACUGCGCUUGAAGAUGAACUACUGGUCCACCUCGGCCCUCUCCAAGUCCUCCCCCACGGCCGCCUCACGCACAAAUGUCUUAUUGCAUCCCUCUUGCGUAGAAACGCAUGGUCCUCACAAACCUCGGCCCUCUCCAAGUUGAAGAUGAACUACUGGUCCACCUCGGUCCUCUCCAAGUCCUCCUCCUUGUUUGCGAGGUCGACAAAACAGCAUGUACACCAGUUCGACUCGUUUUGUCUGGAAGUGCUUUGAUAAAUAUACAAAAAAGAAAAGACCGGUCGGACAACUACUCAACUACUGUAGUGUUUGCCCAUGAUAGGAGCCAAAAGACCAGCUAAUGCGUUGAAAAACGCUUUUGUCUCCAUCGGAAUGUUUUGUUUUCAACUGUGCGCCAUUUGUUGGCUUUCGUCCCGAAUGAUUUUUGCAAAAAGCUUUUCUUACCUGAAGAUAGCAAUUAGACUUGCAUUUGGCUCGAUACAUUUCAUAUCCGUCAUUUUGAAACUUUUGGGAUGCGAAUAAUGGGGAUGCGAUUGGGAAUAAUAACAAUAAAAAAGAAAAAAAGGUAUAAGGACAUUUUUAGAUACAUUUGAUACAUUUGCUACAUUGCUACUUUGCUACACUGCUGCUUUGCUACAGUUGAUCAAAAAGAAAAAAAAGGUAUAAGGACAUUUUUAGAUACAUUUGAUACUGCGCUUGAAGAUGAACUACUGGUCCACCUCGGCCCUCUCCAAGUCCUCCUCCACGGCCGCAUCACGCACAAAUGUCUUAUUGCAUCCCUCUUGCGUACAAACGCAUGGUCCUCACACACCUCGGCCCUCUCCAAGUUGAAGAUGGACUACUGGUCCACCUCGGUCCUCUCCAAGUCCUCCUCCUUGUUUGCGAGGUCGACAAAACAGUAUGUACACCAGUUCGACUCGUUUUGUCUGGAAGUGCUUUGAUAAAUAUACAAAAAAGAAAAGACAGGUCGGACAACUACUCAAGUACUGUAGUGUUUGCCCAUGAUAGGAGCCAAAAGACCAGCUAAUGCGUUUAAAAACGCUUUUGUCUCCAUCGGAAUGUUUUGUUUUCAACUGUGCGCCAUUUCUUGGCUUUCGUCCCGAAUGAUUUUUGCAAAAAGCUUUUCUUACCUGAAGAUAGCACCUAGACUUGCAUUUGGCUCGAUAUAUUUCAUAUCCGGCACUUUGGAACUUUUGGGAUGCGAAUAAUGGGGAUGCGGUUGUGAAUAAUAACAAUAAAAAAGAAAAAAAGGGUAUAAGGACAUUUUUAGAUACAUUUGAUACAUUGCUACUUUGCUACAUUGCUGCUUUGCUACAGUUGAUCAAAAA